Molecule: long non-coding RNA, 1827 nt
Organism: Brienomyrus brachyistius
Lineage: Eukaryota; Metazoa; Chordata; Actinopteri; Osteoglossiformes; Mormyridae
Exons: 3
Source: RefSeq, a predicted model, not a curated record
UGUAUGUACUUCGAAUGUUCUGUUACCUGCCUGCCCCACCCCCGCUGUUGCUCUACCCCCUUUUGGAAUGAGCCACUAGUGGAUCAUCCACAUUCUCUUUCCAACCUGCACCAUGCCACGCCCAUGCUCCAAACCCACCUGGAUCCGUAACGGGAGCAGAGGCAUGCGAUGAAACAACAUUAAUGCAUGACCCAGUCUGACUUUGGAAUCAAUGAAGGAAAGAUGACUUUCUUUUGAUGAGAAGCGGUGCUUCAUGCACAGUCUCCCCCUGUUCUUAUUCUGAGCUGCUGCACCAGGUACUCGUAGAUGUGCUGCGCCUGCAUUGUACGUUGCCAGAUUCCCAGAAGGAACAGCGGACAGCAACUAUACUUAAUUCGCAGACCCGUUGCUGCAUGCUGAGCAAGGGGAUGCACCACUGGAAUGAAUAUCUGUGCAAUCAUCACUCCAGGGAAAAAAUUCCUUGCAUAGAAAACACUUCCAGUAGCAUUGGUAUCGCACUCUGUGUGUUCUGUGGCUGAAAACAUUGUCCAGGAGAACAUAUAGUCUUCAUUUAUUCACAUUUCUAUAAUGAUGAACAACAGUUAUAUGUGGUACUUUUCUGUAUCCAGGUGUAUCUGGUUGUAGGGGGGAAAUAUGACCCCGCCCACCUUGUGGAUGGUACAAUUUAGAAAUCAGUUUUCCUUCAUUUAUUUCACUCAUCAAUUAUUUUUGGGCAUUUUAUCUUACUUACUACAAAGCUGUAUACUUACUUGAAACCAUCAAAAUAUCAACUAAUAACAGCUUAUAUCCUGCUUGUUAAUUUACAGCACUGACCACCUUCUUUUUUUAGCACUAACGAUGAUUCACAAUCAUCAUCUGUGCAUGUUAAUGUCUACGUCAUAUCUGGGACUGAUUUGCCAAAAAUUCAAUUUAACCCUGCCCUUACUGCCAUAACAUGCUUCCACUAUGAUGCUGAAAACCAUGAGAAGUUUAGAACAGCCAUUCAUUGAAUUAUAUUAAAAUUGUAUGGAUGGAUGCAGGGUCAGUUCCCCCUGCCGUGCCCUGCCCCAGAACAGUUGUGACAUCAGUUACAGUUAGUUUAUUUAGGAAGUGGUUGAAUCCAAAGUGAUGCACAACUGAGAAGGCAGGGUCAGACAGUCCCAGGAUACCUAGGAUUAAGGACCUUGCUCAGGUGCCCAAUGGUGAAAUCACUCUUGGAUUUGAGCUGACAACAUUCCGAUGACAAGCACAGUAUUCUAACCCUCUGAACCAAAUCCCAGAUCAAAUCAUCACUUUGCUAUCAGGCAAAGCACUGCUUGUAAAUAGCUUGCUCUCAUACAGUUGCUCGACUAGGGAUUAGGAUUAUGGUUAGGAUAGAGCAGUGUUUGCCAACGCAUUGAUCACAACGUACAACUAGCCUUCUGGGAGCCAACAAGUAGCCCGCUUAACACUUACUAGAAGUAAAAUUGAUUUAUCUGUCGCCACCCUACCUUCCAUAUGUUUCUUCUUUGGGAAAUAAACAUUUGUCAUGCAAAUCGCAUCCAAAAUAGCUGCAGUCUGAUAUAUAAUAAACACAGCACAAAAUAAGUCUAUAGUGAUUACAUUUCAAAAUCAUGAAAAUUAUCUAAUUUUUUCAUUUGCUAUUACCUUUAAAACUAUUUUAACCUCUGGAACUUUCAAUAUCAUUCUUUUGAUUGUGUUCUUUAACAAGCCAGAUUACCCUUGUUACUUGUGUAUUUGGCUAAAUGGUUGUAUCUUAUAACACUAUUUCACCAGUGGCUAGAAAAAAGAAAAACACUUAAUUGAUGCCAGUGAUUUAGAGCUUGGAGUAAAAACACUUCAUAGAGA